GUGCUCACUUCGGCAGCACAUAUACUAAAAUUGGAACGAUACAGAGAAGAUUAGCAUGGCCUGUGCACAAGGAUGACACACAAAUUUGUGAAGUGAUCCAUAUUUUA
This 107-nucleotide small nuclear RNA is filed under the name Urocitellus parryii (Arctic ground squirrel). The record is from RNAcentral. Lineage: Eukaryota; Metazoa; Chordata; Mammalia; Rodentia; Sciuridae.